Non-coding RNA from Hypoxylon sp. FL0543, 110 nucleotides. The record is from the annotation of a GenBank genome assembly. Lineage: Eukaryota; Fungi; Ascomycota; Sordariomycetes; Xylariales; Hypoxylaceae.
GGCGCAGUGGCAGAGUGGUCUAAUGCGAUAGACUAGAACGGGCUUCCUAGGAAGUUCCUCUAGCUCAUCUAUUCCCUUCGGGGGCGUCUGUUCGAAUCAGGCCUGCGUCG